This 497-nucleotide ribosomal RNA is filed under the name uncultured bacterium. Its description in RNAcentral is "partial 16S ribosomal RNA". It matches the Rfam family "Bacterial small subunit ribosomal RNA", at positions 28 to 507 of the family's 1533-position model. The record is from RNAcentral.
GAUGAACGCUGGCGGCGUGCCUAAUACAUGCAAGUCGAGCGAACGGACGAGAAGCUUGCUUCUCUGACGUUAGCGGCGGACGGGUGAGUAACACGUGGAUAACCUACCUAUAAGACUGGGAUAACUUCGGGAAACCGGAGCUAAUACCGGAUAAUAUUUUGAACCGCAUGGUUCAACAGUGAAAGACGGUCUUGCUGUCACUUAUAGAUGGAUCCGCGUUGCAUUAGCUAGUUGGUAAGGUAACGGCUUACCAAGGCAACGAUGCGUAGCCGACCUGAGAGGGUGAUCGGCCACACUGGAACUGAGACACGGUCCAGACUCCUACGGGAGGCAGCAGUAGGGAAUCUUCCGCAAUGGGCGAAAGCCUGACGGAGCAACGCCGCGUGAGUGAAGAAGGUCUUCGGAUCGUAAAACUCUGUUAUUAGGGAAGAACAUAUGUGUAAGUAACUGUGCACAUCUUGACGGUACCUAAUCAGAAAGCCACGGCUAACUACGUG